CUGGCCGGGGGAGGGAGGGAGGGGACGGUUUCGGGCACACCCAGGGCCAACCACAGGCUUUGGGGCCCCGGGGGGCCCUCCCUUCCGCCAUUCCCAAGGACCUCGGCAUCUGGCCCAAACCACUGGAGCUUCUCCGCGCAGGGACCCAGGCGCCCUGCUCGUCCAGCCCCCUCCUCCCGGGACCCGGGCGCCCUGCUCGUCCGCCCCCUCCUCCGGCGGCUCCAGAACUCGGGCUCCUCCUCCCGGGGCCACACCCCGCCAGGUGAAGGCUUAGGGACUGCGGGAGCCCGGCGGCGGCGGGAUCGCUGGCGAGAUGAGCGGCCCGGCAGGGCCCGCGGCGGCCCCCAAGCCCAGCGCCAAGUCUAUCUAUG
Long non-coding RNA from Gracilinanus agilis (Agile Gracile Mouse Opossum), 371 nucleotides. RefSeq lists it as uncharacterized. The transcript has 3 exons. The record is from RefSeq and is a predicted model, not a curated record. Lineage: Eukaryota; Metazoa; Chordata; Mammalia; Didelphimorphia; Didelphidae.